Molecule: long non-coding RNA, 733 nt
Filed under: Gopherus agassizii (Agassiz's desert tortoise)
Lineage: Eukaryota; Metazoa; Chordata; Testudines; Testudinidae
Description: lncRNA (ENSGAGG00000001947.1)
Source: RNAcentral
UAAAAUCUGAAUGAAAUAGGUUUUACAAAUUAUCAUUACCUGGUAUACAUUGGUAUAUUACAAUAAGAAGUUGUUGAAAUGUCUGAAGUGCAUAAAAUGUUUAUCUUAAUAGAAACAUUAUUUCAUAGCUUCUUAAAAAGCCAGAAAAAGGAGAUGACCUGGCCGGUGAAACGAAUAAGGAAAAAGGAGAAGAAGCUGAUAUUGAAGAAAGCAAAUGGGAAAAAUCACCUGGAUCUGGGAGUAUAAAAUCCAAGCCAUUGGAGGGCUCACCAAAAGAACUUAAGGAAAAGUCACAAAAUGAUAGUGAUAAAGAGCAAAUGGAUUUGGAGAGAAGAUUUCGAGAAAAAGACCUUGAAAGACAAAGAUAUCGGUUGGAUGAUGGCAGAAAGCAUAGAGCUCACUAUGAAUUUGACAAGUUUAUGAGAAGGAAUGAAGAAGAGCUGAAAUGGGGGAAAGGAUACAGCCAAGACAGAGGGAAGAAAGGGAACCACAACUACAGCUUCACUGUGGAGGCCGUAGACAAACUGGGAUCGUCCAGCCAUGCAGUUAUACCAGCCAGGAGCUCGCAUUCGAACACAUACGGGAUCUACAAGUAAGAUCUAUGACUGCAGUGGGAAGUCCUCUGAAGAUGCCUGCGAUAGAAAGUAUGAGGUAGAUAAUUCAACUGGAGGUGGUUCUGAGAAGAGUGAAGAGGCAGAAUAAACAUUGGGGUAGAAAACUUGUGAAAAAAAUG